This 404-nucleotide ribosomal RNA is filed under the name uncultured Roseomonas sp. RNAcentral describes it as "bacterial SSU rRNA". It matches the Rfam family "Bacterial small subunit ribosomal RNA", at positions 355 to 776 of the family's 1533-position model. The record is from RNAcentral. Lineage: Bacteria; Pseudomonadati; Pseudomonadota; Alphaproteobacteria; Acetobacterales; Roseomonadaceae.
UGGGGAAUAUUGGGCAAUGGGCGAAAGCCUGACCCAGCAAUGCCGCGUGGGUGAAGAAGGUCUUCGGAUUGUAAAGCCCUUUCGGCGGGGACGAUGAUGACGGUACCCGCAGAAGAAGCCCCGGCUAACUUCGUGCCAGCAGCCGCGGUAAUACGAAGGGGGCUAGCGUUGCUCGGAAUUACUGGGCGUAAAGGGCGCGUAGGUGGCUUGGUCAGUCAGGCGUGAAAUUCCUGGGCUUAACCUGGGGGCUGCGCUUGAUACGGCUAGGCUGGAGGUUGGAAGAGGCUCGUGGAAUUCCCAGUGUAGAGGUGAAAUUCGUAGAUAUUGGGAAGAACACCGGUGGCGAAGGCGGCGAGCUGGUCCAUACCUGACACUGAGGCGCGACAGCGUGGGGAGCAAACAGG